This 315-nucleotide long non-coding RNA is filed under the name Eucalyptus grandis. RNAcentral describes it as "long non-coding RNA (EGRA_LNC007014)". The record is from RNAcentral. Lineage: Eukaryota; Viridiplantae; Streptophyta; Magnoliopsida; Myrtales; Myrtaceae.
UUGACUUCUCUUCGAAGAGAAGUCAUCUCGCUUCUCAUGAUGUGAUAAUUUCAGGAGAGUGAAAGGGUUGUAACAAGGGAAGAAUGAAGAGAUCUAGCUUAAAGACAUAGAUGUUCGUUUCUUGAAUAUAGCACAAAAACUAGAGAGAACGUCAAUCAAUGCUUCAAGGAGCUUAUAUAGAAGGUAAGCCGUCCUGAAAAAAAAAAAAAAAAAAAAAAAAAAAAAAAAAAAAAAAAACCGAAAACUGAAAACCGAAAACCGAAAACCGAAACCCAAAAUUUGAAAACCGAAAAACCGAACCGAACCGAACCGAAC